UAGGCAUGUAGAUGAGAGGGGGAAAAUAAGCCGGGGCAAGGAGGAAGCUUUGGUUCUUUAUAGGGCCCUCUUUGUUCUGUUCUAUGGAUCCAUUGUUGCGUAUCAUCCUCACCUGCGAUGUGAGAGCUUAGGGUUAACUCUACAUUUUUUUCCGCGGGUUUUUCGCUCAUAGGCUGAUGCAAAAUAGCAAAUAAUAUCUUUCUUCCCUUGUCCUCUCUUCAUAUCUUCGGGUUUACUCGUACACGUCGGGCUUUUUCCGUUGCUAAUUGAUGUGGAAAAAAUAUGAAUAUCAAGAUAGGGGUGCAAAGCGCCCUCUCUUUCGCCCCUUUAAGCAGAAGACAAGUGCAAUGUAAACAAAACAAAACAAAAACAAU
Molecule: small RNA, 374 nt
Filed under: Histoplasma capsulatum var. duboisii H88
Lineage: Eukaryota; Fungi; Ascomycota; Eurotiomycetes; Onygenales; Ajellomycetaceae
Description: Histoplasma capsulatum H88 hypothetical RNA
Source: RNAcentral